Molecule: ribosomal RNA, 484 nt
Filed under: uncultured bacterium
Lineage: Bacteria
Description: partial 16S ribosomal RNA
Rfam family: Bacterial small subunit ribosomal RNA
Source: RNAcentral
AUUGAACGCUGGCGGCAGGCCUAACACAUGCAAGUCGAGCGGAUGAAGGGAGCUUGCUCCUGGAUUCAGCGUCGGACGGGUGAGUAAUGCCUAGGAAUCUGCCUGGUAGUGGGGGAUAACGUCCGGAAACGGGCGCUAAUACCGCAUACGUCCUGAGGGAGAAAGAGGGGAAUCUUCGGAACUCACGCUCUCAGAUGCGCCUAGGUCGGAUUAGCUAGUUGGUGGGGUAAAGGCCUACCAAGGCGACGUACCGUAACUGGUCUGAGAGGAUGAUCAGUCACACUGGAACUGAGACACGGUCCAGACUCCUACGGGAGGCAGCAGUGGGGAAUAUUGGACAAUGGGCGAAAGCCUGAUCCAGCCAUGCCGCGUGUGUGAAGAAGGUCUUCGGAUUGUAAAGCACUUUAAGUUGGGAGGAAGGGCAGUAAGUUAAUACCUUGCUGUUUUGACGGUACCAUCAGAAUAAGCACCGGCUAACUUCGUG